CGCGUAGGCGGUCCCUUAAGUCAGGUGUGAAAGCCCGGGGCUUAACCUCGGAAGUGCAUUUGAAACUAUGGGACUUGAGUACGGGAGAGGGAAGUGGAAUUCCUGGUGUAGCGGUGAAAUGCGUAGAUAUCAGGAGGAACACCGGUGGCGAAGGCGACUUCCUGGACCGACACUGACGCUGAGGCGCGAAGGCGUGGGGAGCAAACA
RNAcentral lists this ribosomal RNA (207 nucleotides) under uncultured bacterium. RNAcentral's name for it is "partial 16S ribosomal RNA". It matches the Rfam family "Bacterial small subunit ribosomal RNA", at positions 568 to 774 of the family's 1533-position model. The record is from RNAcentral.